This 492-nucleotide ribosomal RNA is filed under the name uncultured bacterium. Its description in RNAcentral is "partial 16S ribosomal RNA". It matches the Rfam family "Bacterial small subunit ribosomal RNA", at positions 29 to 507 of the family's 1533-position model. The record is from RNAcentral.
AGUGAACGCUGGCGGUAGGCCUAACACAUGCAAGUCGAACGGCAGCACCGUAAGAGCUUGCUCUUACGGGUGGCGAGUGGCGGACGGGUGAGGAAUACAUCGGAAUCUACUUUUUCGUGGGGGAUAACGUAGGGAAACUUACGCUAAUACCGCAUACGACCUACGGGUGAAAGCAGGGGAUCUUCGGACCUUGCGCGAUUGAAUGAGCCGAUGUCGGAUUAGCUAGUUGGCGGGGUAAAGGCCCACCAAGGCGACGAUCCGUAGCUGGUCUGAGAGGAUGAUCAGACACACUGGAACUGAGACACGGUCCAGACUCCUACGGGAGGCAGCAGUGGGGAAUAUUGGACAAUGGGCGCAAGCCUGAUCCAGCCAUACCGCGUAGGGGAAGAAGGCCUUCUGGUUGUAAAGCCCUUUUGUUGGGAAAGAAAAGCAGCAGGUUAAUACCCCGCUGUUCUGACGGUACCCAAAGAAUAAGCACCGGCUAACUUCGUG